UGCGCAGGCGGUUUUGUAAGACAGAGGUGAAAUCCCCGGGCUCAACCUGGGAACUGCCUUUGUGACUGCAAGGCUGGAGUGCGGCAGAGGGGGAUGGAAUUCCGCGUGUAGCAGUGAAAUGCGUAGAUAUGCGGAGGAACACCGAUGGCGAAGGCAAUCCCCUGGGCCUGCACUGACGCUCAUGCACGAAAGCGUGGGAGCAAACA
This 206-nucleotide ribosomal RNA is filed under the name uncultured bacterium. Its description in RNAcentral is "partial 16S ribosomal RNA". It matches the Rfam family "Bacterial small subunit ribosomal RNA", at positions 568 to 774 of the family's 1533-position model. The record is from RNAcentral.